UAUAGUUGCAGUGAUGAACGGUCGUGUUUGCGGAGAAAAGUAAAUUUAAAACAACUUAAAGAAACACUCGUAGAGAGUUUGCCCCAUUAACUUUCGUGUAGACGUGCUAAGCUAUAAAUUAAACAAUAAUCGUCUGAUUUGCUACAGUCCAAUUAAAGUCUUCCUAAUAAAUUUGUGAGAGUGAAUUAAAAAGUUGUACGUAACUCCGUUUUUCCCUCUCGCACUUUAUGUGCGUUUGUAUAUGUGACUCUGCGUAACUGUGCCUGUGUGCGUGUAUGAGUGCCUGUGGGUGCAUUUGUUUAUUCCUACCGCCAAAUACGAUUUCUUACUAGAACUUGCCACGCGCUGCGUUGCUGGGCGGUGCUGUCAUUACCCCACCCACCCUUCAUUAGCACAUUGUGCAAAAAAAAAUCCGAAAGAAAAUCGAAACUCCCGCACUUUAACUGGAUAAUGAGUAGUCGGAACAACGUCAAAACGAAAACAAAAACAACGGUACACAAAGGAAACUGAAUUAAAGCAUAGCAAGAAAAUGCGAUUAAUGCUUGACACGAAUAUUUAUUCAAAAUAGAUCAAACACUUGUAUAUAUGUAUGAGUGUGAGUGUAUGUUUUUGUACUUUUACAUAACGAACGCGUCGCAUAACAUUGAACCUAACUGUUUACCAAAUUGUUGAGCAAUUUGUAUACGAACAAUAAAUGAAAUAAAAGAAAUCACGACGAGCUAAAUCCAAUUUGAGCUUAAACUUAACUGUAAACAUUUUGUGCACAUUGUUUGGACGUUUUGCGCCCACUGUUCCGAGCUGUAAACAUAUUCAAGAGUAAAAUAUAUAAAAGUGCUUUAAAUUUGGUUUAUAAAAAGACUGGAUGUUUAAAAAUAAGAAAAGAAAUCGCUGUAACUCGACCUAAAAUGUAAACUGUUUAAGUUUACAAAUGGUACAAUAACAAUAAAAUCAACAACAACAACURCUACAAUGGUUGUAAUUUAGCUAAUAAGCAAUUCACGGACUCGACAAACGAAUUGAACUUGAUUUGAAAACAGCAUUGUCUGUGGCAUCAGCUGCUAAUCGACUACAACAACAAACAUAAAUCAUCAUCAACGGAAAACAAACACCCUACAACAGCAGCUAGAAUAGUGUGAGCUGGUAGCUAUUGUGAUUGAGCUGCAAACAAGCGAACGCAUUAAUCAUACGCCGCGUGCGCCAUAUUUGAAGCAGCCCAGUGAGAAGUGUCCUAAAACGAAAUAUGUUUGCGAAAAAGCCGCACAAUGCGCCGCGCACUUGACACGCGUUGAGUUACCGUUA
Long non-coding RNA from Drosophila arizonae, 1299 nucleotides. Lineage: Eukaryota; Metazoa; Arthropoda; Insecta; Diptera; Drosophilidae. The record is from RefSeq and is a predicted model, not a curated record.